Molecule: ribosomal RNA, 305 nt
Filed under: uncultured bacterium
Lineage: Bacteria
Description: bacterial SSU rRNA
Rfam family: Bacterial small subunit ribosomal RNA
Source: RNAcentral
AUUGAACGCUGGCGGCGUGCUUAACACAUGCAAGUCGAGCGGUAACAGGCCCGCAAGGGUGCUGACGAGCGGCGGACGGGUGAGCAAUACAUAGGAAUCUACCUCAGAGCGGGGGAUAGCCCGGGGAAACCCGGAUUAAUACCGCAUGAUGUCGAAAGACCAAAGUGGGGGACCGUAAGGCCUCACACUCCGAGAUGAGCCUAUGUCGGAUUAGCUAGUUGGCGGGGUAACGCCCACAGCAACGAUCCGUAGCUGGUCUGAGGGGACGAUCAGCCACACCGGAACUGAGACACGGUCCGGACUCC